UACGUAGGGACCGAGCGUUGUCCGGAAUCAUUGGGCGUAAAGAGCGUGUAGGCGGCUAUUUAAGUCCUGCGUGAAAUCCUGCGGCUCAACCGCAGACGGUCGUGGGAAACUGGAUGGCUAGAGUGCGGGAGAGGAGAGUGGAAUUCCUGGUGUAGCGGUGAAAUGCGUAGAGAUCAGGAGGAACACCCGUGGCGAAGGCGGCUCUCUGGUCGACAUCUGACGCUGAGACGCGAAAGCGUGGGGAGCGAACAGG
This 253-nucleotide ribosomal RNA is filed under the name uncultured bacterium. Its description in RNAcentral is "partial 16S ribosomal RNA". It matches the Rfam family "Bacterial small subunit ribosomal RNA", at positions 524 to 776 of the family's 1533-position model. The record is from RNAcentral.